This 393-nucleotide ribosomal RNA is filed under the name uncultured bacterium. Its description in RNAcentral is "partial 16S ribosomal RNA". It matches the Rfam family "Bacterial small subunit ribosomal RNA", at positions 523 to 918 of the family's 1533-position model. The record is from RNAcentral.
AUACGGAGGAUCCGAGCGUUAUCCGGAUUUAUUGGGUUUAAAGGGAGCGUAGGUGGAUUGUUAAGUCAGUUGUGAAAGUUUGCGGCUCAACCGUAAAAUUGCAGUUGAAACUGGCAGUCUUGAGUACAGUAGAGGUGGGCGGAAUUCGUGGUGUAGCGGUGAAAUGCUUAGAUAUCACGAAGAACUCCGAUUGCGAAGGCAGCUCACUAGACUGUUACUGGCACUGAUGCUCGAAAGUGUGGGUAUCAAACAGGAUUAGAUACCCUGGUAGUCCACACAGUAAACGAUGAAUACUCGCUGUUUGCGAUAUACAGUAAGCGGCCAAGCGAAAGCAUUAAGUAUUCCACCUGGGGAGUACGCCGGCAACGGUGAAACUCAAAUGAAUUGACGGGG